GGUCAAGUUAUUAAGGGCUUACGGUGGAUGCCUUGGGACCAAGGGCCGAUGAAGGGCGCGGUAAGGCUGCGAUAAGCCUCGAUGAGCCGUCUAACAGGCAUAGUCGAGGGUUCCCGAAUGGGGAAACCUGUUCCGGUGUUGAGCCGGUUCAUCCCGAUGCAAAUCGGGAGGGUAAGCGGGGGAACUGAAACAUCUAAGUACCCCGAGGAAAAUAAAUCAACCGAGAUUCCCUGAGUAGUGGCGAACGAAAGGGGAAUAGCCCAAACCAGUACGACUUAGUGGCAUGAGGGCCUAUGUCGUAUCGGGGUUGUAGGGAGCACCUUGGGUCACCUCAUUAGACCUGAAGGAGUUACAAAUCUCGUCUCUAGCCGAAGGCGCCUGGGAAGGACCGUCAUAGAGGGUGAAAGCCCCGUAGGCGAAAGAGUCGAGACUCCUGGUGCCCACCCUGAGUACCACGGGGCACGUGAAACCUUGUGGGAAGCUGGGGGGACCACCCUCCAAGGCUAAAUACCCUUGGUCACCGAUAGCGUACCAGUACCGUGAGGGAAAGGUGAAAAGAACCCCUAGCGGGGAGUGAAAUAGAUCUGAAACCGUAAGCCUACAGAAGGUCGUAGCCCUGACUUCGGUCGGGGUGGCGGCGUGCCUAUUGAAGAAUGAUCCGGGGACUUACUGUAUGGAGCGAGGUUAAGGGACUGGAGUCCCGGAGCCGUAGCGAAAGCGAGUCUGAAUAGGGCGGCUAGUUCCAUGUAGUAGACUCGAAACCGGGUGAGCUACCCAUGGCCAGGUUGAAGGUUCGUUAACGCGCACUGGAGGACCGAACUCGUGGCUAGUACAAAAGCUUGGGAUGAGCUGUGGGUAGAGGUGAAAUGCCAAUCGAACUCGGAAAUAGCUAGUUCUCCCCGAAAUGCAUUUAGGUGCAGCCUCGGGCACAGGUGGACGGAGGUAGGGCACUGAAUGGGCUAGGGGGCGUGAGCUUACCAAACCCAAUCAAACCACCAAUGCCGUCCAACCGAUACCCGGGAGUGAGACUGCCACAGAUAAGUGCGGUAGUCGAAAGGGAAACAGCCCAGACCACCGGCUAAGGCCCCUAAGUUCAAGCUAAGUGGGAAAGGAAGUGAGGUUCCUCAGACAACCAGGAGGUUGGCUUAGAAGCAGCCAUCCUUUGAAGAGUGCGUAACAGCUCACUGGUCGAGGAGUCUGGCGCCGAAAAUGUAACGGGGCUUAAGUUUGACGCCGAAGCCGUGGAUGUUCAGGUGCAAGGGUAAAGAUCCCACCCCCAAAGGUGGAGCCAAUAGGGAAACCCGCAAUAGGGAAACCCGGCAACGGGCAACCUGACGGUGGGGGAACCUGGCGGCAAAGCCGGCGGGAGAGGGAUUGGAGCCUUUGGAGAACGCCUGGGCGUGGUAGGGGAGCGUUCCUCGGGCAACGAAGGUGAGCCGUGAGGUUCACUGGAGCGCGGGGAAGUGAGAAUCCCGGAAUGAGUAGCGUAAACUAGGGUGAAAAUCCCUGGCGCCGAAAGCCCAAGGUUUCCUACGCAACGUUUAUCGGCGUAGGGUUAGUCGGUCCUAAGCCGUAGGCAAGCGCCGAAGGCGAUGGACAGCAGGUUAAUAUUCCUGCACCGCCGUUGUUUCGCUUUAAAACCAAGGAGGGGUGCGGAAGGGUAGGUAGAGCAUGCCUAUUGGACAUGGUGUGUCCUCAACUGUAGGCGAGUCGGGGCAGGUAAAUCCACUCCGGCGUUAAGCAGAGGGUUGAGGGAAUCGAGCCUUCGGGCUACGAAACUCUGUUGAACCCAAACCGACUAGAAAAGCUUCGUGGUUAUGGAGCAAUGGCGACCGUACCGGAAACCGCCACUGGUGGGCAAGGAUAAAAGUCCUAAGGCGUUCGAGCUAACCUCCGCUAAGGAACUAGACAAAAGAGCCCUGUAACUUUGGGAGAAAGGGCCCCCCGGGGGGUGAAGCCACUAGCUGGUGGAGCGUUCUGGGGGCGCAGAGAAGAAGGCCGGGCGACUGUUUAACAAAAACACAGGUCUGUGCUAAGGGGAAACCCUACGUAUACAGGCUGACGCCUGCCCAGUGCCGGAAGGUUAAGGGGAGUGGUGCAAGCCGCGAACUGAAGCCCCGGUGAACGGCGGCCGUAACUCUAACGGUCAACCGAACGGUCCAACCAGGCCUUGGGCGCAAGCCCUCGGCUCGGAGGCUGUUUAAGGCCGUUGUAAAAUCUGGCUAUAUGCUGGGAAACCCGAGUAUCCGGCGCUACCCGUUGAUCGAAUCUGGGUCAAUUGGUGACAAUGCGUCCGGUGCGGACAAUCAGCAGGAAAGACCAUGGAGGAAAUCCCCGCGCCACGUUCCGGACUCUGUCAAGGAAUGGUCCAUGGACGGGGUGGAACUUCACGGAAUCCUCAGAGACCAUACGCCAGACCCGCUGUCGGAACGUGCGGGAAGAUAUGGUCCGAUCUGUGUGGCGACAUGCAGAGGGCGGCAGAAAUGACCGUCCCCUCCGGUACUCAGCCAAACAGGCAACUGUCUGACCGGGAAUCGGGGAGUAACAAAUUGCCUAAGGUAGCGAAGUCCCUUGUCGGGUAAGUUCCGACCCGCAUGAAUGGUUGAACGACUUGGCCAUUGUCUCGGCGGAGGGCUCGGUGAAAUUGCGGUGCCCGUGAAGACGCGGGCGACCUGCGGCAGGACAAAAAGACCCUGUGGAGCUUUACUGUAGCCUGGUAUUGGUCUGGGAGCCGUCAUGUGUAGGAUAGGUGGGAGGCUAUGAUGCCCCGACGCCAGUCGGGGCGGAGCCGCCGUUGAAAUACCACCCUUGGCUGUUUUUGGUCCUAACCUCAGCGCAACUGAGGGACAGUGCCUGGUGGGCAGUUUAACUGGGGCGGUUGCCUCCUAAAAUGUAACGGAGGCGUCCAAAGGUUCCCUCAGGACGGAUGGAAAUCGUCCAUAGAACGCAUUGGCAUAAGGGAGCUUGACUGCGAGACCUACAAGUCGAGCAGGGACGAAAGUCGGGCAAAGUGAUCCUACGGCACCGUGUGGAAGGGCCGUGGCUUAUCGGAUAAAAGCUACCCCGGGGAUAACAGGCUUAUCUCGCCCAAGAGUUCACAUCGACGGCGAGGUUUGGCACCUCGAUGUCGGCUCGUCCCAUCCUGGGGCUGAAGGCGGUCCCAAGGGUCCGGCUGUUCGCCGGUUAAAGGGGUACGUGAGUUGGGUUCAGAACGUCGUGAGACAGUUCGGUCUCUAUCCGCCGUGGGCGCAGGAGGCUUGAGGGAACCUCUCCCUAGUACGAGAGGACCGGGAGGGACAGACCUAUGGUGUUCCAGUUGUUCCGCCAGGAGCAGCGCUGGGUAGCCAUGUCUGGCAGUGAUAAGCGCUGAAGGCAUCUAAGCGCGAAGCUGCCCCCAAGAUGAGGCCUCCCUCCCCGAUUAACUUCGGGGGUAAGACUGCAGAGAGACUAUCUGCUUGAUAGGCCGGAUGUGUAAGGAGUGUAAGCUCUUCAGCAAACCGGUACUAACCAGUCGAGAGGCUUGACCCA
This 3528-nucleotide ribosomal RNA is filed under the name Dehalococcoidia bacterium. RNAcentral describes it as "23S ribosomal RNA". It matches the Rfam family "Bacterial large subunit ribosomal RNA". The record is from RNAcentral. Lineage: Bacteria; Bacillati; Chloroflexota; Dehalococcoidia.